RNAcentral lists this ribosomal RNA (422 nucleotides) under uncultured bacterium. RNAcentral describes it as "partial 16S ribosomal RNA". It matches the Rfam family "Bacterial small subunit ribosomal RNA", at positions 360 to 774 of the family's 1533-position model. The record is from RNAcentral.
AAUUUUGAACAAUGGGGGCAACCCUGAUCCAGCCAUCCCGCUUGUACGAUGAAGGCCUUCGGGUUGUAAAGCACUUUUGGCAGGGGAGAAAUAGGUCCGGCUAAUAUUCGGUCUGACUGACGGUACCUGCAGACUAAGCACCGGCUAACUACGUGACAGCAGCCGCGGUAAUACGUAGGGUGCAAGCGUUAAUCGGAAUGACUGGGCGUAAAGCGAGCGCAGGCGGUUCGGAAAGAAUGAUGUGAAAUCCCAGGGCUUAACCUUGGAACUGCAUUUUAUACUACCCAGCUAAAAUAUGUCAGAGGAGGGUAGAAUUCCACGUGUAGCAGUGAAAUGCGUAGAGAUGUGGAGGAAUACCGAUGGCGAAGGCAGCGCCCUGGAAUAAUACUGACGCUCAUGCACGAAAGCGUGGGGAACAAACA